RNAcentral lists this ribosomal RNA (781 nucleotides) under uncultured bacterium. RNAcentral describes it as "bacterial SSU rRNA". It matches the Rfam family "Bacterial small subunit ribosomal RNA", at positions 116 to 913 of the family's 1533-position model. The record is from RNAcentral.
CGUGAGGAACCUGCCUCAAAGAGGGGGACAACAGUUGGAAACGACUGCUAAUACCGCAUAAGCCCACAGUUCGGCAUCGAGCAGAGGGAAAAGGAGUGAUCCGCUUUGAGAUGGCCUCGCGUCCGAUUAGCUGGUUGGUGAGGUAACGGCCCACCAAGGCGACGAUCGGUAGCCGGACUGAGAGGUUGAACGGCCACAUUGGGGCUGAGACACGGCCCAGACUCCUACGGGAGGCAGCAGUGGGGAAUAUUGCACAAUGGGGGAAACCCUGAUGCAGCGACGCCGCGUGGAGGAAGAAGGUCUUCGGAUUGUAAACUCCUGUUGUUGAGGGAGAUAAUGACGGUACUCAACAAGGAAGUGACGGCUAACUACGUGCCAGCAGCCGCGGUAAAACGUAGGUCACAAGCGCUGUCCGGAAUUACUGGGUGUAAAGGGAGCGCAGGCGGGAGAACAAGUUGGAAGUGAAAUCCAUGGGCUCAACCCAUGAACUGCUUUCAAAACUGUUUUUCUUGAGUAGUGCAGAGGUAGGCGGAAUUCCCGGUGUAGCGGUGGAAUGCGUAGAUAUCGGGAGGAACACCAGUGGCGAAGGCGGCCUACUGGGCACCAACUGACGCUGAGGCUCGAAAGUGUGGGUAGCAAACAGGAUUAGAUACCCUGGUAGUCCACACCGUAAACGAUGAUUACUAGGUGUUGGAGGAUUGACCCCUUCAGUGCCGCAGUUAACACAAUAAGUAAUCCACCUGGGGAGUACGACCGCAAGGUUGCAACUCAAAGGAAUUGA